RNAcentral lists this ribosomal RNA (334 nucleotides) under uncultured Anaerolineaceae bacterium. Its description in RNAcentral is "bacterial SSU rRNA". It matches the Rfam family "Bacterial small subunit ribosomal RNA", at positions 1034 to 1382 of the family's 1533-position model. The record is from RNAcentral. Lineage: Bacteria; Bacillati; Chloroflexota; Anaerolineae; Anaerolineales; Anaerolineaceae.
ACAGGUGCUGCAUGGCUGUCGUCAGCUCGUGUCGUGAGACGUUCGGUUAAGUCCGCUAACGAGCGCAACCCUCACUGUGUGUUAUACGUGUCACACGGGACUGCCGGUUUUAAGCCGGAGGAAGGUGGGGAUGACGUCAAGUCAGCAUGGCCUUUAUAUCCUGGGCUACACACACGCUACAAUGGUCGGUACAAUAGGUUGCCAAGCCGCGAGGCGGAGCCAAUCCAUAAAGCCGGCCUCAGUUCAGAUUGUAGGCUGCAACUCGCCUGCAUGAAGAUGGAGUUGCUAGUAACCGCAGGUCAGCAAUACUGCGGUGAAUACGUUCCCGGGUCUU